This 232-nucleotide long non-coding RNA is filed under the name Lotus japonicus. RNAcentral describes it as "long non-coding RNA (LJAP_LNC002198)". The record is from RNAcentral. Lineage: Eukaryota; Viridiplantae; Streptophyta; Magnoliopsida; Fabales; Fabaceae.
AGAGGAAUGCUUCGUGUUGGAACUUGUGAGGCUUGGUGAUCAGAGUCAGAGGGAAGCUUGGAUCCUCUGACCUUCGUAACUUAAGAUCUUCUGGACCUUCAGAGCCUCUGGACCUUCAGAGCCUCUGAUCCUUCAGAUCUUCUGAUCCUUCAGAGCUUCUGUUCCUUCAGAUCUUCUGGUCCUCAGAUCUUCUGAUCUUCAGAUCCUCUGAUCUUCAGAUCCUCAGAUCUUC